RNAcentral lists this ribosomal RNA (167 nucleotides) under Heteropriacanthus cruentatus (glasseye). Its description in RNAcentral is "partial 12S ribosomal RNA". Lineage: Eukaryota; Metazoa; Chordata; Actinopteri; Priacanthiformes; Priacanthidae. The record is from RNAcentral.
CACCGCGGUUAGACGAGCGACUCAAGUUGACAGACAGCGGCGUAAAGCGUGGUUAAGAUCAAUUUAAACUAAAGCCGAAAGCCCCCUAGCCGUUAUAAGCCUACCAGGGUAAGAAGACCACUCACGAAAGUAGCUUUAUUAUAUCUGAUUCCACGAAAGCUGGGGUA